UUUUUUUUUUUUUUUGGUAACAUUUUAACUUAAAAAAAUCCUUAAUUAUUGAGGAUAUUUGGUGUGUGUAUAUGUUUGCAUGUGUGUGUUCCUCUCUGAAUGAUUGGAGUUGAUGGUUGGGGUUGGUGUCUGUGUUCAUGCAUGGACCAAAAUGUUAAAUGGAGGAUAUUAUUUGCACUGUGGCCAGUAUAAUAACUAAGGACAUUGAACUGCGGGCAGGAGAAUUCGAGCCCACUCAUGGCUGUAUGCUUCAGCUAUCCUGUGCUAUAAGAAACUCCCUUGUCAACAACUUUAACAUUACUGAAAUGUAAUUAUCUGUUUAUUUUCAGUACGUGAGGCAGCAUUGUUUAUAGUGCACAUUAGCAGAAGCAUAGAAAUUCUCUCUUGAAGAAGAGUGGUCCCAAUUUUACUUCAUGCUGAACCCAUCAGGCCAGGGCUACUUUGUUAUAGCCAAUUCUGAGUGUCAACCCUGGAAAGAAUGACCAGAAGAAAGACACUGUAGCUGUGCCUAGUGGUGUUAGCAAUGAGAUGGCCUUUUCCUGUAGCCGUCUAGAAUCAUCGGUUGAUUGUUUUUUUCUCUACUCUCUGUUUUAAAUGUACAAUCUCUUGAAUAUUUUUCUUUCUUUCUUUCUUUUUCUUUUUUUUUCUUUUUUUUUUUUUUUGUCUUUUGUCUUUUUAGGACCGCAACUGUGGCAUAUGAAGGUUCCCAAGCUAGGGUUCGAAUCAGAGCUAUAGCUGCCGGCCUGUGCCACAGCAAUGCUGGAUCUUUAACCCACUGAGCGAGGCCAGGGAUCGAACCUGUGUCCUUCCUCGUGGAUACUAGUAGGGUUCAUUAAUCACUAAGCCAAAAUGGGAACUCCUGAAUUUUUCUCUUCUGUAUUUUGCCAUGCUACUUUCUACUUUUCUUUGACCAACGUUUUAAUUUAAUUUGCUAUAUUCAUCCUUCCAGCUCUCUUCCUUGUGCACUCACUUCUCUAGAUUUAUCUAUGUUCACAUCCACUGACCCUUUACAUCCCUAGAGGCUGCUUCGUAUCAUUGUUCAGCUCUUUGCAAAUUAGCAUUUGGCAAACAGCUGAUAGGAGCUCCCCCAAAGGAUGAUAUUAACUAUCAGAAAUUUUUCUAUGACGUAAAUAAAUGUGCAAAGGUUUAUAUUUCUCUUUAGAGAAAUAUUAGUAAGUUGAGCUCCAGACCAUUAAAGAAGAUAGUUUAAAAAAAAAAAAAUGCAAACCCAUAGUCCCAGAACAUGGCACACAUGUGUUUUUUAUGUGAAAAUAAAACUGAAAUGGGAGUUCCAGUUGUGGCGCAGUGGUAACAAAGCAUGAGGAUGCAGGAUUCUUCACCCUGCUCAGUGGGUUAAGAAUCCGGCAUUGCUGUGAACUGUGGUGUAGGUCACAGACACGACUCGGAUCCUGCAUAGCUCUGUGGCUGUGGCAUAGGCCUGCAGCUGUAGCUCCAGUUCAAGCCCCUGCUUCAGCCUUGGAAUUUCCAUAUGCCCAGGGUGUGCCCCUGGAAAAAAAAA
RNAcentral lists this long non-coding RNA (1519 nucleotides) under Sus scrofa (pig). Its description in RNAcentral is "lncRNA (ENSSSCG00015050289.1)". Lineage: Eukaryota; Metazoa; Chordata; Mammalia; Artiodactyla; Suidae. The record is from RNAcentral.